Molecule: ribosomal RNA, 427 nt
Filed under: uncultured bacterium
Lineage: Bacteria
Description: partial 16S ribosomal RNA
Rfam family: Bacterial small subunit ribosomal RNA
Source: RNAcentral
UAGGGAAUCUUCCGCAAUGGGCGAAAGCCUGACGGAGCAACGCCGCGUGAGUGAAGAAGGUCUUCGGAUCGUAAAACUCUGUUAUUAGGGAAGAACAAAUGUGUAAGUAACUAUGCACGUCUUGACGGUACCUAAUCAGAAAGCCACGGCUAACUACGUGCCAGCAGCCGCGGUAAUACGUAGGUGGCAAGCGUUAUCAGGAAUUAUUGGGCGUAAAGCGCGCGUAGGCGGUUUUUUAAGUCUGAUGUGAAAGCCCACGGCUCAACCGUGGAGGGUCAUUGGAAACUGGAAAACUUGAGUGCAGAAGAGGAAAGUGGAAUUCCAUGUGUAGCGGUGAAAUGCGCAGAGAUAUGGAGGAACACCAGUGGCGAAGGCGACUUUCUGGUCUGUAACUGACGCUGAUGUGCGAAAGCGUGGGGAUCAAACA